This 2280-nucleotide long non-coding RNA is filed under the name Homo sapiens (human). RNAcentral's name for it is "HSALNT0063202". Lineage: Eukaryota; Metazoa; Chordata; Mammalia; Primates; Hominidae. The record is from RNAcentral.
CUUUCUGCCAUGCCAGGCAUUCUGGUAGUGUUGUGAACUCAGAAACAAAAGAUGCAUUCCCUAGGUAAAGAAGUGACAGCUUAAUGGGAGGCCAAAGAAGGAAGAAUAGAAAAACAACAUUUCUAUUACAGUUGAAGUUGACAGAACCAACCACAGAAACCAGCCUGCCGUGAUACAAGGAGCAACUAUUUGAGCAGAGGAAGAUGCUACUAUGAACCCUUGUUGCCCUAUUUUCCACUCAGUGGCCCUUAUAGAAAGCUGUUUGGGAACAGCAUCAUUAGCGGGUCACUGGAAUCUACAAAGCCACCAUAACCACUACUUUCCAGCUUGCGCCUGUGGUAUCUUCAUGAAUUUUCUGCCAUAAUUGCACUGACCUCUUGCUUUAUCAAACAGACAAGGACAUCUGAUUCUUCCAGCCCUCAGUACUUCUCAGAAAUACAAUCUUCUGACCUGUCUGAAUUUCUCUGGAAGAGAACUUACCAGUCCUCUGGAGCCUGUGACAGCAGCUUAUAAAGGAAAGUAAUAAAAGAAAGUGGAGGUGAACCAUUUUGGGCCCCUUUUCAAGAGGGAGGGUCUGGUGGAGUAUACCAAAGGAAGAACUUCUGGAAGCUUUCCUUUUUUUUUCUCAACAGAGAUUGUUUCUAUAUCCUGUGUUGUGAGUAGAAUGUAGUAGGCACAUUAGAGGCCUUCUUUCUCUUAUUUCAUAUAACUGAGGAUUUUGAUGUAUGGAUGCUAUCUAUGGGGAAGGAGAUAUAUGGCUUUGAAAAACAUAUUUGGAAGCAAAAAUAUUGGGAGCCUGGGCCCAUCUAGAAGUCUGACUCUAAUUGGUAGUCCUCUAAAUGAUGAAAUACCCAAAUUCCCACUUUGGCAUCUCUUGGUUAUUGAUAUUAUUAUAAUAGUGACAGGAGGAGGUUGUUGUCGUAGUCCAUUUAGGCUGCUAUAACAAAAUACCUGAGACUAGGUGAUUUAUAGAUAACAGAAAAUUAUUUUUUACAGUUCUAGAGGCCGGGAAGUCCAAGAUCUAGGUCCUGGCAAAUUCAGUAUCUGGGGAGGGCCUGAUCCAUAAGUGCCACUUUCUUAUGGCAUCCUCUCAUGGUGGAAAAGGCAGAGGGGCAAAUUAAUAAACGAACAAACAAACAAAAAAAAGUGGGGGAAGAGGGAUGAAUGCUGUGUCCUUACAUGGCGAAGACAUAAAAGAGCAAAAGGCACGAGGGCACUCCUUUCAACCUCUUUCAUAAGGUCACUAAUCCUUAAUCGUCUCCUAAAGGCCCUAUCUUUUAGUACUAACUUUUGUGACUAAGUUUCAACAUAUGAAUUCAGGUGGGGAGGCAUGUUUAGACCAUAGCAGUUGCUGAUUUGGAAACUGUAAAAUGGAAAAUAGGAGACAGUCUGUAAAAUUUUGUCUGAGACAGGCAUGAAGCAGCUCAAAGUCUACUCCCACGGUAUCUGCAGGCAUGAGGUAAAAAAGUUUCCCAAGUUUCCAUGGGCCAGCUUGUGCUCAGUCUUUUCUUCAUGGUUGCUGAAAACUUCAGGGAGGCUGUAGGGUGGUGGUGGUGGCAGGGAGUUGUUCUGAUAUCAGGAAUAUAAUGAAGUCAUGUCAUUUUAUAAAACAGCCACUGAGGCAGAGAGGUUAACGGCUUGCUCUCUUUUGUUUUCUCUUGCCAGUUCUGCUCUAUGGCUCAGUAGAAUAGCAAGGAAAGGAGAAAUUCUAUGGGGCUGUGUAUAUUAAGGGUGACAGUAGAGGGGUAGGUGGUUUCCAUAAAGUAGUAUGUAUAAAAAUGAGCUCCUGGGGGUACUGAUAAACAGCAAAGUCAAGAAAAAAAUGGAAAUAGAUUAAGGUUUUCUUUUUGGAAACUAUUAAUAAGAAUGUGCUUUUAGAGAUUAUUUUGAGGCCUCUUUUAUAUUUUCAGAUGCUACUUCUGAUAUUCAUGGUGGAAAUAAAAAAUAUCCUGCCUACAUAUCGCUUUCUUCUUCUCAAAGUUUAAAAGUGGUUUCAUUCAGCUUAUUUACUGGAAUUGUAUGACAUUCUUGUAAAAUGUGCAAGAUGAUUUAAUACCAAUUCCAUUCUGGCAUCAUUAAUGAAAAUAAUAUGAACUUGCAAUGAGAUGGACAGGGGUUUCAAAUCUUAGCUCCAGUUACUAUUUGUAUGACCUUAGCUAGUUAAUAGCACUGUAAAACUCAACUUCAUUUGUUCACUAAGUCUGGCUCUUUCUGUAACUAUCUCAGAGGGUGCUUAUGAGGAUAAAAUGAAAUAACCUAUGUAAAAUGUUGGCCACCAGA